Molecule: transfer RNA, 75 nt
Filed under: Candidatus Moraniibacteriota bacterium
Lineage: Bacteria; Candidatus Moraniibacteriota
Description: tRNA-Phe
Rfam family: tRNA
About the family: Transfer RNA (tRNA) molecules are approximately 80 nucleotides in length.
Source: RNAcentral
GCCGAGGUAGCUCAGUGGUAGAGCAAAGGACUGAAAAUCCUUGUGUCGAGAGUUCAAUUCUCUCCCUCGGCACCA